Molecule: unclassified non-coding RNA, 421 nt
Filed under: Hevea brasiliensis (rubber tree)
Lineage: Eukaryota; Viridiplantae; Streptophyta; Magnoliopsida; Malpighiales; Euphorbiaceae
Source: RNAcentral
GUUCAGCAACGUGCUUGAGUUUGCCCUUUCCUUUGCGAAUUGUUGUUCUUCUUGGAGGAAAUUUUGCUUACUGUUGUAUGUAACAUGGUCUGUGUGGUGCCACACUGGAAUGGACAAUCAGCGUUCAGUCUAUAGGAACUUUGUUAUUGAUUUUCUUGUGUUUCAUAUUAAUACCAAAAUAUAUGAGACUAUCAGCAAGUAGCUCAAUUGAGCUUUGUUUAUGUAUAGACCUACAGACCAAUACAUUUUAGUUUUCCUAGAUGUAGCAAUUAAUACAAUUGAAAGUCAGACAUUUUGUUAUCCAUUUGAAACAUAAAAAAAUAUAAAUUCUAUAAAUUAUGUAGUUUAUGAUAUAUAUAUAAUUUAUGGAGUUCAAAUAUGUAGUUUAUGAAAUAUUUAUGGAGUUUAUAAUGCCUAGUUG